CAACAGUCUGGCAGCACCAGCAAACAGCUGCAUGUUACUUCAUCGGCGAUUUCGGUGCGAAAGUUGAAAAACACAAUUAAUUCAGUUGAUUUGCAAUGACAUCCCAGUACCUGAGCCAGCUGCACACGGCCGACAAACUGGCCGCCGAGCCAUGGCCGGAAGACGCCACCCUCUACCAGCCCUAUGAAGCGGAACAGAUCCUGCUGCCGGAAAACGCCAGUUGCCUGGCUGUGAAGGCUUACCUGAAGAUGUGCAACCUGCCCUUCGGAAUCCGUUCCUGCGCCAAUGCGGAGCACAUGUCGCCGGGCGGCAGGAUGACCAAGUUGCCUUUCAUCCGAGCAGGAGCAUUUAUUUUUGCUGAGUUCGAGCCGAUUGUGAACUUUGUUGAGCAGAAAGACUUGGCCAUUGGCAACUGGCAGGACGAGGACGAGAAGGCGGACAUGCGCACCUAUGUGUCCCUGGUGGAAAACAUCUUUACCAUGGCUGAGCUGUACAUUAGCUUCAAGAACGAGCGUGUCUACAAGGAGGUCACUGCUCCCAGGAACGGAGUCGUUUUUCCAUGGCCCCUCAAUCACAUGCAGAACUAUGGGAAGCGGAGGAACGCCCUGCGUUUGCUGAAGGUCUAUCAGUGGGACGACCUGGACAUCGACAGCGUCAUCGAGAAGGUGGCCAAGUGCUGUGAGACCCUCGAGUACAAGCUAAAGGAGUCGCCGGAAACGCCCUUCUUCUACGGCGAUCAGCCCUGCGAACUGGACGCCAUCGCCUUUGGACACCUCUUCAGCAUUCUGACCACCACGUUGCCGAAUAUGGCGCUGGCUCAAACGGUGCAGAAGUUCAAGCACUUGGUCGAGUUCUGUCGCUUCGUCGAUGAGAAGUACUUUCAGACCAGGUGCCUGCCAAAUUAGUUAUAUGUAGUCGUCGCAUUAAAUGCUUAUACAUUUAGUUACUCUUCUCUUUUUUUGUGCUGCGCUGCACAACCGCUUAAAUAUGCAAUUAUAAAUGUCCUUAAUACCAAUCGAUGUAAAUCACCAUUAUAUUUCAACUAGUAUUUAAAAGUAGAAAUUGAAUUGAUUUUGCUGUCAUUUAUGUAAAAAAAUCCAUGUGAUUAUAAUUUUGUCGUCUUACUGUUGCACAAGUGACUCAAUCUGCAAGUUUCUUAAAGCGGAGCUAUGCACUUCUAAAAAUUUCUUCAUAUAUUCUUUUCAGCAAAUAACUUUCUGGCUAAUGAAAUUGUAAAUAUAACAAGCGUUUUCCCUUACAGAUAGCUACCAGCUAGACAUACGCAUUAAAAGCUCGCUUAUGUAAAGACCUUAAAUACAUAUAUAUUUUUAUUGAUUUAUUGUUAUAAUUAAUUUAGAUUAUUAUUAUGAAUGCAAUGUAAACAUCUUGCAUGCAGCUGGCCAACCCAAUCGCGCCACUUGUGAUACUUGCUAACGCAAUCAUACAAAACAAUCAGAUGACUCUCGAAAAUAAAAGCUUAACGACAA
Molecule: RNA transcript, 1487 nt
Organism: Drosophila yakuba
Lineage: Eukaryota; Metazoa; Arthropoda; Insecta; Diptera; Drosophilidae
Gene name: metaxin-2
Exons: 3
Source: RefSeq, a predicted model, not a curated record